Molecule: ribosomal RNA, 376 nt
Filed under: uncultured bacterium
Lineage: Bacteria
Description: bacterial SSU rRNA
Rfam family: Bacterial small subunit ribosomal RNA
Source: RNAcentral
GACGAACGCUGGCGGCGUGCUUAACACAUGCAAGUCGAGCGGUAAGGCCCUUUCGGGGGUACACGAGCGGCGAACGGGUGAGUAACACGUGGGUGACCUGCCCUCAGCUCUGGGAUAAGCCUGGGAAACCGGGUCUAAUACCGGAUAUGACUCCAUGACGCAUGUUGGUGGGGUGGAAAGCCUUGUGCGGCUGAGGAUGGGCCCGCGGCCUAUCAGCUUGUUGGUGGGGUGAUGGCCUACCAAGGCGACGACGGGUAGCCGGCCUGAGAGGGCGACCGGCCACACUGGGACUGAGACACGGCCCAGGACUCCUACGGGAGGCAGCAGUGGGGAAUCGUUGCGCAAUGGGCGAAAGCCUGACGCAGCGACGCCGCGU